GUGCCAGCAGCCGCGGUAAUACGGAGGGAGCAAGCGUUACUCGGAAUUAUUGGGCGUAAAGGGCGCGUAGGCGAUCCUGUAAGUCUCGUGUGAAAUCCCAGGGCUUAACCCUGGAAUGGCAAGAGAAACUGCUGGAAUUGAGUUCCGGAGAGGAAGGCAGAAUUCCCGGUGUAGCGGUGAAAUGCGUAGAUAUCGGGAGGAAUACCAGUGGCGAAGGCGGCCUUCUGGACGGAUACUGACGCUGAGGCGCGAAAGCCAGGGGAGCAAACGGGAUUAGAUACCCCAGUAGUCC
RNAcentral lists this ribosomal RNA (292 nucleotides) under uncultured bacterium. Its description in RNAcentral is "partial 16S ribosomal RNA". It matches the Rfam family "Bacterial small subunit ribosomal RNA", at positions 505 to 796 of the family's 1533-position model. The record is from RNAcentral.